RNAcentral lists this ribosomal RNA (254 nucleotides) under uncultured prokaryote. Its description in RNAcentral is "partial 16S ribosomal RNA". It matches the Rfam family "Bacterial small subunit ribosomal RNA", at positions 524 to 777 of the family's 1533-position model. The record is from RNAcentral.
UACGGAGGAUGCAAGCGUUAUCCGGAUUUAUUGGGUUUAAAGGGUGCGUAGGCGGAACAAUAAGUCAGUGGUGAAAGUCUGUCGCUUAACGGUAGGAUUGCCAUUGAUACUGUUGGACUUGAAUAUGGAUGAGGUAGGCGGAAUGUGUAGUGUAGCGGUGAAAUGCAUAGAUAUUACACAGAACACCGAUUGCGAAGGCAGCUUACUAAUCCAUCAUUGACGCUGAGGCACGAAAGCGUGGGGAUCAAACAGGA